UAACCCCGCCUGGGAGCAGGACCCACCUGCUGCUCAUUGCCCUAUUUUAGCCACUUCUUUAUUAAACCAACUCUAGGUCCACUUCAUUUACUGGUUUUAAGUUUGACCAAUAAACCUAUAUGGCUCCUUCAUUAGAAGCUGCAGAAUCAGCCUCCUGUCUGGCUACAGUAUUUUGGUCCACAGUAUCCCCUCGGUGGAGCUGAAAUCUUAUGUGGGGUGUCAUUGCCGCUGACAGCACCUGCAGAUGGCUUUGUUUUUCCUCCGACAGGCACAAGUCAGACUGCUAUAGCACAGAAGACUUUAUUACUUUUCCUGUUAACUUGCUUGUCUUCUGAGGGAAGAGAGGAUUUAUGGGUGCUCAGGAGCCCCUGUGCUGGGAGAAUCUUCCCACCAUCACUCAGCAGGUGUGAACGCUCUGAAACCAACAAGACGCCAGCUCAGCCAAGAAGAAUUCUGCUGUGCAAACUAAUGCCUAGAAGAUGCAUUGCAUGUAGCCAGGACUCACACUCAGGGGUUGUUCACAUCAGGACCUGUUCUCGUGUCUCUGGCAGUCGAAGGGCAAUCAGGCCACCACCAACCAGAGAGGACGCGGCCAGAAGGAUGGGGACCACUUUGGUUAUCCCAACAAAGGAAGCGAAGAUGGUGUUUCCAAGGAUGGCUCCAAAUUUGCAUAAUCCAUUGAGGAUGCCAAAGGCUGUUGCCCUGCAAAAGAAGAGGAAAGAGUCCAAACAGGUCUGGGGAGAGGACCAGGGAAGAACUGACCUCUGGUUGGUGGGAUACAACUCCACAGUGAUCACAUCCAGGGCAUUCCAGGCGGCAAUGCUGGUCCCACAGAACAGGCACUGCCAGCCUAUCAUCGCUGACUCACUGUUGCCGAAAAACAGGAAGAAGCAGCAGACUGCCGAGAUGAGCAUAGAGCCCCCUACAAAGGAGACCAAGGGCAGAUGGAAGCAUGACACCUGGGCCCUGGACAAGACUCUCCCCCACAGGUCUUGCUUCCUCACAGGAAGCAGCCUGUCUGAACUCCAUGGAGAGGCCAUCAGCUUUACCCUCCAAUAUGGCGCCCGGGCCACAGGAGCCCUCCACAUGGGUCAGGUCACCAGAGCCAGUCUCCAAGAAGGAUUCUGGAAUUGGCACUAUGUGGGUGCCAUGUUCCAGCCCAGAGUGAUGGAGAUGGGGCAGAGGAGGGUGGAUUCUGAGAAUUGAUCCUGUGUCAGAGGCCUCUUGUGGGUGCUUGAGAUACGUCAGUUUAGGUCCAAACCCCCACUGUUAUGUAGCUGACACAGAAAUAGUACCUACUUCCUUUGGUCGUUAUGAGGGUUAUAUGUGUUAAUAUUGAUAAAGUGCUUGGAACAAAGCCUGGCCUAUAAUAAGCUCAUUGUAAAUGUCUGUUAAAUGAAAUGCCUAGUUGAUGUCUGUCUCUGCCUGUAGACCAUUUGCUCCUUAGGCACAGGGGUACUGUCUGUCUCAAUUACUGUUGUACUCCUGAUGCCUACUGCAGCGCCUGGCAGAGAAUCAGUGCUGCAUAAAUAAAUGUUUAUUAAAUAGAUAUACAAGCGGGUAACAGCCUCAUCAGGAAGACUUCUAUUCCACUGUUAAUAAGAAACCAUUUCUACCCAGAAAAGAUCACAGCCCAGGAAAUCGGAAAAUGAUGCUCCAGCAGAUGCCAUAGGUGGUUUUAUCUGGGACCCACGGAUAGGACUAAUGGAAGCAGGUCACCCAGGCCCCAUGGAGAAGAUAUAGACUAGCUCUUCAAUGAGUACUUAAUGACUGAGGACAUCACAGUUGAACCACUGGAUGCCAGACCCUUUAUUAAAGACUGGGGCUACAGAGGUAAUAAGACACUGGCUGAGUACUCAAGGAGCUUGCAAACUAGCUCAAAAACAAAAUGCAGACAUUAAUAAAAAACUAGAAUAUGAAGAAAUUUUUAAAUAUUUCUAGAUCUCUAAUUUGGGGCAACCAUCCCUUUCUUUAGUAUUAUAGAAGUCAGCUUUGAUCUGUGCUGCACUCAUGAUGACGAGGAUGUCAAAGGGAGGACAAGGUUGGCUCUUCCCACCCCGCCCUGCCAGUCAGCUGUGCCCAGCCUGUCCUCUGGCCCCGUGUGGCUGGCCAUGGGAGAGCAGGCCAUUCUCAUUUCCAUGUGUGCCCACCCCGCCACCCACAGACCCUGCUUUCCCAAGAACAUCCCCAGGCACCCCAGGACCUGACCAAAUUGUUCACUGUUAGACCCUGGGCCUCAAGGGCUGGUGACAAAAAAGCAGAGGGGUCUUGCAUUUACUCUCACACCCUUUUUCUCAGUUGAGCCUGGGGAGCUAAUACUUUCACAAUUAUGAAGCAGAAGCUCAGAGAAGUCAAGGAAUUUGUGUCAACGCAUAAAGCUAACUUUGGCAGAGAAGGCGCCCUGACUCCCA
Long non-coding RNA from Dasypus novemcinctus (nine-banded armadillo), 2411 nucleotides. NCBI's taxonomy places the organism in Eukaryota, Metazoa, Chordata, Mammalia, Cingulata, Dasypodidae. The record is from Ensembl.